Molecule: transfer RNA, 90 nt
Filed under: Deltaproteobacteria bacterium
Lineage: Bacteria; Pseudomonadati; Myxococcota; Myxococcia
Description: tRNA-Ser
Rfam family: tRNA
About the family: Transfer RNA (tRNA) molecules are approximately 80 nucleotides in length. Their secondary structure includes four short double-helical elements and three loops (D, anti-codon, and T loops).
Source: RNAcentral
GGAGAGGUGACCGAGUGGCUGAAGGUACUUGAUUCGAAAUCAAGCAUAGGUGAAAGCCUAUCGGGGGUUCGAAUCCCCCCCUCUCCGCCA